AGUCCACAUCGACGGGGAGGUUUGGCACCUCGAUGUCGGCUCAUCACAUCCUGGGGCUGUAGUAGGUCCCAAGGGUUGGGCUGUUCGCCCAUUAAAGUGGUACGCGAGCUGGGUUCAGAACGUCGUGAGACAGUUCGGUCCCUAUCCGUCGCAGGCGUAGGAAAUUUGAGAAGACCUGUCCUUAGUACGGGAGGACCGGGAUGGACGUACCUCUGGUGUACCAGUUGUCCUGCCAAGGGCAUGGCUGGGUAGCUAUGUACGGAAUGGAUAAGCGCUGAAAGCAUCUAAGCGCGAAGCCAACUUCAAGAUAAGAUUUC
Molecule: ribosomal RNA, 317 nt
Filed under: Clostridioides difficile
Lineage: Bacteria; Bacillati; Bacillota; Clostridia; Peptostreptococcales; Peptostreptococcaceae
Description: bacterial LSU rRNA
Rfam family: Bacterial large subunit ribosomal RNA
Source: RNAcentral